This 468-nucleotide ribosomal RNA is filed under the name uncultured bacterium. Its description in RNAcentral is "bacterial SSU rRNA". It matches the Rfam family "Bacterial small subunit ribosomal RNA", at positions 35 to 507 of the family's 1533-position model. The record is from RNAcentral.
GAUGAACGGCUGGCGGCGUGCCUAAUACAUGCAAGUCGAGCGAACCACUUCGGUGGUGAGCGGCGAACGGGUGAGUAACACGUAGGUGAUCUGCCCAUCAGACGGGGACAACGAUUGGAAACGAUCGCUAAUACCGGAUAGGACGAAAGUUUAAAGGUGCUUCUGGCACCGCUGAUGGAUGAGCCUGCGGCGCAUUAGCUAGUUGGUAGGGUAAAGGCCUACCAAGGCGACGAUGCGUAGCCGACCUGAGAGGGUGAACGGCCACACUGGGACUGAGACACGGCCCAGACUCCUACGGGAGGCAGCAGUAGGGAAUCUUCGGCAAUGGGCGAAAGCCUGACCGAGCAACGCCGCGUGAAUGAUGAAGGCCUUCGGGUUGUAAAAUUCUGUUAUAAGGGAAGAACGACUUUAGUAGGAAAUGGCUAGAGUGUGACGGUACCUUAUGAGAAAGCCACGGCUAACUACGUG